CGGGGUAUGGCGCAGUCUGGUAGCGCAUCUGCUUUGGGAGCAGAGGGUCGUAGGUUCGAAUCCUGCUGCCCCGACCA
RNAcentral lists this transfer RNA (77 nucleotides) under Granulosicoccus sp. Its description in RNAcentral is "tRNA-Pro". It matches the Rfam family "tRNA". Rfam says of the family: Transfer RNA (tRNA) molecules are approximately 80 nucleotides in length. Their secondary structure includes four short double-helical elements and three loops (D, anti-codon, and T loops). The record is from RNAcentral. RNAcentral also lists the same sequence under 1 other name. Lineage: Bacteria; Pseudomonadati; Pseudomonadota; Gammaproteobacteria; Chromatiales; Granulosicoccaceae.